AGAGUUUGAUCAUGGCUCAGAUUGAACGCUGGCGGCAGGCCUAACACAUGCAAGUCGAACGGUAACAGGAAGCAGCUUGCUGCUUUGCUGACGAGUGGCGGACGGGUGAGUAAUGUCUGGGAAGCUGCCUGAUGGAGGGGGAUAACUACUGGAAACGGUAGCUAAUACCGCAUAACGUCGCAAGACCAAAGAGGGGGACCUUCGGGCCUCUUGCCAUCGGAUGUGCCCAGAUGGGAUUAGCUAGUAGGUGGGGUAACGGCUCACCUAGGCGACGAUCCCUAGCUGGUCUGAGAGGAUGACCAGCCACACUGGAACUGAGACACGGUCCAGACUCCUACGGGAGGCAGCAGUGGGGAAUAUUGCACAAUGGGCGCAAGCCUGAUGCAGCCAUGCCGCGUGUAUGAAGAAGGCCUUCGGGUUGUAAAGUACUUUCAGCGGGGAGGAAGGGAGUAAAGUUAAUACCUUUGCUCAUUGACGUUACCCGCAGAAGAAGCACCGGCUAACUCCGUGCCAGCAGCCGCGGUAAUACGGAGGGUGCAAGCGUUAAUCGGAAUUACUGGGCGUAAAGCGCACGCAGGCGGUUUGUUAAGUCAGAUGUGAAAUCCCCGGGCUCAACCUGGGAACUGCAUCUGAUACUGGCAAGCUUGAGUCUCGUAGAGGGGGGUAGAAUUCCAGGUGUAGCGGUGAAAUGCGUAGAGAUCUGGAGGAAUACCGGUGGCGAAGGCGGCCCCCUGGACGAAGACUGACGCUCAGGUGCGAAAGCGUGGGGAGCAAACAGGAUUAGAUACCCUGGUAGUCCACGCCGUAAACGAUGUCGACUUGGAGGUUGUGCCCUUGAGGCGUGGCUUCCGGAGCUAACGCGUUAAGUCGACCGCCUGGGGAGUACGGCCGCAAGGUUAAAACUCAAAUGAAUUGACGGGGGCCCGCACAAGCGGUGGAGCAUGUGGUUUAAUUCGAUGCAACGCGAAGAACCUUACCUGGUCUUGACAUCCACGGAAGUUUUCAGAGAUGAGAAUGUGCCUUCGGGAACCGUGAGACAGGUGCUGCAUGGCUGUCGUCAGCUCGUGUUGUGAAAUGUUGGGUUAAGUCCCGCAACGAGCGCAACCCUUAUCCUUUGUUGCCAGCGGUCCGGCCGGGAACUCAAAGGAGACUGCCAGUGAUAAACUGGAGGAAGGUGGGGAUGACGUCAAGUCAUCAUGGCCCUUACGACCAGGGCUACACACGUGCUACAAUGGCGCAUACAAAGAGAAGCGACCUCGCGAGAGCAAGCGGACCUCAUAAAGUGCGUCGUAGUCCGGAUUGGAGUCUGCAACUCGACUCCAUGAAGUCGGAAUCGCUAGUAAUCGUGGAUCAGAAUGCCACGGUGAAUACGUUCCCGGGCCUUGUACACACCGCCCGUCACACCAUGGGAGUGGGUUGCAAAAGAAGUAGGUAGCUUAACCUUCGGGAGGGCGCUUACCACUUUGUGAUUCAUGACUGGGGUGAAGUCGUAACAAGGUAACCGUAGGGGAACCUGCGGUUG
Molecule: ribosomal RNA, 1522 nt
Filed under: Escherichia coli
Lineage: Bacteria; Pseudomonadati; Pseudomonadota; Gammaproteobacteria; Enterobacterales; Enterobacteriaceae
Description: bacterial SSU rRNA
Rfam family: Bacterial small subunit ribosomal RNA
Source: RNAcentral